Molecule: non-coding RNA, 116 nt
Filed under: Rhodococcus sp. (in: high G+C Gram-positive bacteria)
Lineage: Bacteria; Bacillati; Actinomycetota; Actinomycetes; Mycobacteriales; Nocardiaceae
Description: Rhodococcus sp. SAM-IV sequence
Rfam family: SAM (S-adenosyl methionine) riboswitch aptamer
About the family: SAM-IV is a mRNA element that regulates gene expression via direct sensing of S-adenosylmethionine (SAM or AdoMet).
Source: RNAcentral
GGUCAUGAGUACCAGCGUGAAGCCCCGGCUUGCUGGUCGGCAACCCUCCGGCCAGGGUGGGGUGCUCCGGGUGAUGACCCGGUCGUCCGGCGCCACGCCGCACGACAAGCCGGUCC